CUUACUAGGAAAUACAUGCUCUUUCCUCUGUUCAUAAGAGGGGGUUUAUCUUAGGGUUUCGCUCGCGCUCGCUCAUUCCCCAAUCUCCACCCCACCAAGCCAUGGCGAAACCCAGCAGAGGCCGUCCUUCCCCGUCGGGCUCCGCGUCCGGGUCCUCCUCUCGGUCCCGCUCUUUCUCAGGCUCCGACUCUCGUUCCAGCUCCAGGUCUCGUUCCCCGUCCAAGUCCCCGUCUCGCUCUCGCUCUAGAUCGGUCACUUCCUCUUCCUCUCCUUCGCACAGCGUCAGCUCUCGCAGCCGUAGCCCCCCUCGUCACCGCCGCAGUUCUCCUGAGGUAGUCAAGAGAGGCCGUUCCCCUCCGCCGCCGCCGCCGCCUAAGAGAGCUUCUCCGCCCCCUAGGAAAGCUUCUCCUAUUCGAGAAUCCCUUGUUCUUCAUAUAGACGCACUCAGUAGAAAUGUUAAUGAAGGCCACCUGAAGGAGAUAUUCAGUAACUUUGGUGAAGUAGUGCAUGUGGAGCUUGCCAUGGACCGGACUGUGAAUCUUCCAAAAGGAUAUGGUUAUGUCGAGUUCAAAACAAGAGCUGAUGCUGAAAAGGCUCAGCUGUAUAUGGAUGGAGCUCAAAUUGAUGGAAAUUUUGUUCGUGCCAAGUUUACAUUACCACCUAGACAGAAGGUUUCGCCAACACCAAAACCUGCUCCAACAGAUUUGAAGAGAGAUGCUUCGAAAUCUGAUAAUGUUGGUGCUGAUGCAGAAAAAGAUGCAUCUAAACAGCCAAGAGACUCUUCUCCUCGUCGGAAAGCUCUUUCCCCACCACCACCACGAAGAAGAUCUCCUGGACCUCGUAGAGGUGGAUCUCCAAGAAGACUGCUAGAUUCUCCAAUCCGCCGUCGAGGAGAAUCCCCAAUCCGCCGUCGAGGAGAGUCCCCCUAUCGACGUGGUGAGACACCUCCAAGAAGGCGGCCUGCGUCCCCGGGAAGAGUUCGUGACCCAUUAUCUCUUCCAAGGCGGCAUAGGUCCCCUCUGAGAGCGCGGGCUAGUCCAAUCCGAAGACGUUCGCCCCUUCCUCCUAGGCGACGGUCACCACCUAGACGAGCUAGAAGUCCACCUAGAAGGUCUCCAAUCAGUCGACGGCGUAGUCGCUCUCUAGUGCGCAGGGCCGCUCGAUCACCAGCACGAUCACCUUCUCCUAGGAGAGGUCGAGCACCACAAGCAAGGCGUGGCAGGUCAUCCUCGUACUCUGACUCACCAAGUCCACGCAAGAUACCGCGGCGGAUACCGAGUCGCAGCCCUAGAAGGUAUUUUUCUUUCCUAGAUCAUCUUUGCCAAUAACUACAGUUGUUUGUAGUAAACCUUAGUUUGUGUGCAAUGUGAUUUCUGGGCGUUGGCGUACAACUGCUGACAGUUGUGCAGCCUUCCCAGUUCUGCUUUGCAUUGGCCCAUAAGGGGAAGGAGCUCCAGCAACACGAGCAGCAGCAGCUCGCCGCCUCGUAAGCCAUAGGUAAAUUCUCUGUUCCUCACCCAUCUUCCCCUUCCUGUCCCAUCUCCACCUCCCUUCCCCAGCCCCACUCACAUCAUUCGCAUCCCUGCAUCCCUCUGAUUGUGGGAGAGACACACAGAGAGAAGGAACAAGAGAGGAAGUUUCCAGCAAAUUGAAAAUUGUGGUACUUUUUUCUGUGGAGGAACUUUAUGGCUGUAAUUAUGACCAUGCUCGUAUUUUAGAGGAUCGAUUCUGCUGGGCAACUCUGAAUCUGUCUUAGUUGAUUGUUCUUGUAGAAGUUGAUGAUUCUGUUUUAUGGUAUCGUUUUGUUUUAUC
Rhodamnia argentea is the source of this 1812-nucleotide RNA transcript. It is a transcript of the gene named serine/arginine-rich splicing factor SR45, with no coding region annotated. The record is from RefSeq and is a predicted model, not a curated record. The transcript is spliced from 13 exons. NCBI's taxonomy places the organism in Eukaryota, Viridiplantae, Streptophyta, Magnoliopsida, Myrtales, Myrtaceae.